Molecule: transfer RNA, 77 nt
Filed under: Chlorobiota bacterium
Lineage: Bacteria; Pseudomonadati; Chlorobiota
Also listed under: 1 other name
Description: Chlorobi bacterium tRNA-Val
Rfam family: tRNA
About the family: Transfer RNA (tRNA) molecules are approximately 80 nucleotides in length. Their secondary structure includes four short double-helical elements and three loops (D, anti-codon, and T loops).
Source: RNAcentral
GGGUUCUUAGCUCAGUUGGCUAGAGCGUCUGUUUGACGUACAGAAGGUCACAGGUUCGACUCCUGUAGAACCCACCA